UGGCAACAGGCCCCAAAUCCAUCUACAGUAGAAGGGAAUUGGCGUUCCCUUUGUGGCUCAGUGGUUAACGAAUGCAACUAGGAUCCAUGGGGACAGGUUCGAUCCCUGGCCUCGUUCAGUGGGUUGAGGAUCCAGCACUGCCAUGAGCUGUGGUGUAGGUCGCAGAAGAGGCUCAGAUCCUGAGUUGCUGUGGCUGUGGUGUAGGCCAGCAGCUGUAGCUCUGAUUCAUCCCCUAGCCUGGGAACUUUCAUAUGCCGCAGGUUCAGCCCUAGAAAGGAAAAAAACAAAACAAAACAAAACAAAAACAGUCAAAGGGACAUGGCAUAUUCUUACAGUGAAUAUACAGCUAGAAAAAGGAACGAACUACUGACCACACUUUGGUGUCAUGGAUGAACCCCACAAUGUUGAGUGCAAAAAGUUAGACUCAAAGAUUUCAUACUGUAUUGUUACAAUUCUGGGAAGGUCAAAUGCAGGUAAAGUUCAUCUUUGGUAUUUAAAUUAGAUUUUGGUGGUGGUGGUGGUGGUGUUUAGAUGAAAUGGUUUUCAUUUUGAGACCAACCAAAUGUAUUAAGUGUAAAAAUCCUUUAAUAAACAAACCAUAGGGAGUUCCUGUCGUGGCUCAGUGGUUAACGAACCCAACUAGGAUCCAUGGAGACGUGGGUUUGAUCCCUGGCCUUGGUCAGUGGGUUAAGGAUCCGGCGUUGCCAUAAACUGUGCUGUAGGUCACAGAUGCAGCUCGGAUCUGACAUUGCUGUGGCUGUGGUGUAGGCUGGGAGCUGUAGCUCUGAUUAGACCCCUAGCCUGGGAACCUCCAUAUGCCAUGGAUGUGGCCCUAAAAAGACCAAAAAAAAAAAAAAAAAAAGAUAGUGGACUAGAAGGAUUGGGUAUACAACCAAAAGAACUGAAAACAGGGAGCCACAAUGGAAUAUUAUAUAGCCCUAAAGAGAGGGCAAUUCUGACAAACACCACAACAUGAAUGAACCUUGAGGACAUUAUGCUGAGUGAAAUAAGCCAUCACAAAAAGACAAAUAUUGUAUGAUCCCACUUACAUCAGGUUCCCAAAGUAAUCCAAUUCAUAGGGACAGAAAGAAUGGUGGCUGCCAGGGGCUGGGAGAGGGAGGAAUGGAAAGUUAUCAUUAAAUGGAUACAAAGUUUUGGUUUGGGAAGAAGAAAAAGUUUUGGGGAUGGAUGGUGGAGAUGGUUGCCCAACAACAUGAAUAUACUUAAUGCCACUGAACUGUACACUUAAAAAUGGUUAGAAUGGUAAAUUUCAUAUUAUGUAUAUUUUACCACAACUUUAAAAAAUUUCAAAAAAGGGAGUUCCCACUGCGGCUCUGUAGAAUCGAAUCUGACUAGUAUCCAUGAGGACACAGUUUUGAUCUCUGGCCUUGCUCAGUAGAUUAAGGAUCUGGCAUUGCCACGAGCUGCAGUGUAGGUCGCAGACAAGGCUUGGAUCUGGCCUUGCUGCGGCUCUGGCAUAGGCCGACAGCUACAGCUCCGAUUUGACCCCUAGCCUGGGAACC
Molecule: long non-coding RNA, 1523 nt
Filed under: Sus scrofa (pig)
Lineage: Eukaryota; Metazoa; Chordata; Mammalia; Artiodactyla; Suidae
Description: lncRNA (ENSSSCG00005041451.1)
Source: RNAcentral